AUUGAACGCUGGCGGAAUGCUUUACACAUGCAAGUCGAACGGCAGCACGGACUUCGGUCUGGUGGCGAGUGGCGAACGGGUGAGUAAUAUAUCGGAACGUGCCCAGUCGUGGGGGAUAACGUAGUGAAAAUUACGCUAAUACCGCAUACGCUCUAUGAAUGAAAGCGGGGGAUCGCAAGACCUCGCGCGAUUGGAGCGGCGGAUAUCAGAUUAGGUAGUUGGUGAGGUAAAGGCUCACCAAGCCAACGAUCUGUAGCUGGUCUGAGAGGACGACCAGCCACACUGGAACUGAGACACGGUCCAGACUCCUACGGGAGGCAGCAGUGGGGAAUUUUGGACAAUGGACGCAAGUCUGAUCCAGCCAUUCCGCGUGCAGGACGAAGGCCUUCGGGUUGUAAACUGCUUUUGUACGGAACGAAAAGGUCUCUAUUAAUACUAGGGCUCAUGACGGUACCGUAAGAAUAAGCACCGGCUAACUACGUGCCAGCAGCCGCGGUAA
Molecule: ribosomal RNA, 499 nt
Filed under: uncultured bacterium
Lineage: Bacteria
Description: partial 16S ribosomal RNA
Rfam family: Bacterial small subunit ribosomal RNA
Source: RNAcentral